Molecule: long non-coding RNA, 486 nt
Organism: Cololabis saira (Pacific saury)
Lineage: Eukaryota; Metazoa; Chordata; Actinopteri; Beloniformes; Belonidae
Exons: 2
Source: RefSeq, a predicted model, not a curated record
UUAGAGGUGUAAUACCACGCCCCACCACAGAGUGGCGCACUUGCUUUAUAUGUGUCUCGGGUCACGUUUUUCCCAGUCCCGGUUAAGAUGUCGACCUGAAAAGCUGUGAACAAACUAAAGAACUGUAUUUAAUCCUGUGUGUGUGAGAAGCUAACGGAGGAGCGUUCCUGUCUGUGGGCCCUCUCAUUGUGAACUCCGAGGCUACAAUGAAGAAGUGGCCGGGAGUGUCCAGCGGCCAACUUGGGGCAGCCAUCAACCAAAAGCUGACAGAGCUCCGAAGAGCACACAAAAAAUAAUAAUAUUUGGCUAUCUUUUUAUUUUUCAUUGUAUUUGAUUUUUGUUUCUGUUUAUAGCCACUUGAAAGCAUGCACUUUUUUGUUUCUGUUUAUUUGAAAGCUAAUGUUGCACUUUUUUGUUUUUUGUUUAUUGCCACUUAAGCUAAUGUUGCACUUUAAAAUAAUUUUUAAAUAAAGUGUUUAAGUUCUA